This 278-nucleotide ribosomal RNA is filed under the name uncultured bacterium. Its description in RNAcentral is "partial 16S ribosomal RNA". It matches the Rfam family "Bacterial small subunit ribosomal RNA", at positions 506 to 784 of the family's 1533-position model. The record is from RNAcentral.
UGCCAGCAGCCGCGGUAAUACGGGAGGGGCAAGCGUUAUCCGAAAUGACUGGGCGUAAAGAGUCCGUAGACUGUACUGUAAGUUAUUUGUUAAAUCCUAAAGCCCAACUUUAGAACAGCAUUUAAUACUACUUUACUUGAGUUUUGUUCGGAAGAGUAGAAUUCCACGUUUAGGGAUAAUCCCCGUAGAUAUGCGGAGGAACACCAUUAGCGAAGGCGACUCUUUGGUAAAAACUGACGUUGAGGGACGAAAGUGUAGGGAGCAAACAGGAUUAGAUA